Long non-coding RNA from Gallus gallus (chicken), 4997 nucleotides. Lineage: Eukaryota; Metazoa; Chordata; Aves; Galliformes; Phasianidae. The record is from Ensembl.
GAAUUGUUCUGGAACUAGAAAACAUUGCAAGGAGCCUUUGAAUGAUUCAGCAGCAUGGAUGGUAUGGUUCAGGAGCCUAUGCUUAUGCCAUUCUCCUUGGAGGCAUUCAAGGCCAGGCUGGAUGUGGCUCUGGGCAGCCUGGUGGGGUGGUUGGCGACCCUGCACAUAGCAUGGGGUUGAAACUAGAGAAUAAUUGUGGUCCUUUUCAACCCAGGUCAUGCUGUGAUUCUAUGAUUCUCCUGCCUAAUUUACUCAUGAAAGUUGUACUGGAGUGGAAGCUCAGUAUGAGAGAAUACCAUCAGGCAACACCAUGUCUGUGAUAUAUCUGUUGGAGUUCCAGAUGUGGAAAGGCUGAUAAACCCACUGGAUACUGUCUACUACCUUAGGGAAGUAAGGAAAAAGAAAAAGGGACUCCAAUAUAAGGGUUCUGCCAUCUUUAAUAGUAGAAAAAUGCCCUAGAGAAGAGCUCCUAAAUAGGUGGGAGAAAAUAUUUUACCAUCAGAGAUUUGAAGAUCUCUGAAAAUGAAGACACAACAGCAAUAGAUUUUCAAGGAGAAACUACCUUGAAGUAACAGAGUGUUUAAUUUAUCAAAUAAGAACAUAAUAAAAACCUAUGGCUGAAAGGUGGAAGGAGAGACAUUCAAAUGAAGAAUCAGGCAUGUAUUUUUAACCAUGUGAGCAUAUGUAACCAUAACAGAUUGCCAGGGAAAGGGAUGGAGUUCCUAAUAUUGUGUCUUCACAUCAGGUAUAGGCAACUUCCUGAAGAAGCACUGAUCAAGACAUUUGCCACCAAACCAAAGCCAGAAUGGAAUGUUAAUGUUCUCUGAGAAUGAUUGGAUUAGAAAACCUAACACAUCUUCAUGCCAUGAGGAUCUGCAAAGUCUUCUCUCUUAUUCCAGUGGCAUAAAGUAUGAACAUGGUCCCUCAGCAACUUUGGUGAGAUAGAAGGGAUAAAGCAAAGGCAGGAAGGAUUCAGGAAAAGAAGCAGAGUGAAAAUUUAGGAUGACAGGAAAAAAGGCUUCAUUUGAGAGAUCAGAAUCUCCCUUUCUUUCCCGUGACUGUUUCGUUGUACUCUCCUUGGCAAAACACUUAGAAGAGGUAAUGCUGAUCCUUCUUAGUAAACUAAAUAGCUCCAGAACGUAUUCACAAGCACUGAAAUCUGAUAAUCUAUAAUAUUAAACUGUGCAAAUAGGAGGAAUUUGGCUUUGGGUAUCUAGCCAUCACCCAAACUGUUAGCAAAUCUGGAAAAUUCAAGGACCCAUGCAUCCUCCUUGCUUGUGGAGUUAAGGGAGUUCAAUACUGUGGACAUGGGUCAUUCUAUGCCACCUAGUCUCAGUGCCAGAGAAUUAGUUUAAGCAUGUUUAAUUUACUAGUACAGACACAAUUCUUGUUUCCUGAAGCUGUGGUAAUUACCUAAGGAGAUAUAAGCCAGUUUGAGUUAACUUACUGUAUACUUAAUAGUUUUUUGGAAAAGAUAAAGGAUUGAAGAUAAAAGUCUGGGACUUUGCUCAUGCUUGACAUUCUUCUCAGAACUCUGAAGAUAUGUACUAGACUACAAUUUUUAUUUGAAAGUCAUCUGAACAGUUUUGCAAGGUUUCAUCAUCUUGUAUUGUCUGACUGUUGGAAUACACCCACUGAAGUACGAAUCUCCCACAUUUUUUACCUGGAAAAAAUUCUGCACAACCAUUGUAAGGCCUUUUUCCCAAGGCGGCAAAAUCUUAAGCCCAGGAAAGGAAAGCAAGAUUCAUUUCCUUCAAGUGAGGAGCUCUCUGACUUCGAGCUAUCCUUAUGUGUGCUCAUCCAUGUGAGAAGAAGAGGUGAUCUACAGGGACUAUUCAAGUGAGGAGCUCCAGAUAUUUGAACCAAGACCUUCCUAAUUAUUGUCUAAUAGAUAGAUCGUGAAAUCACCCAUCAUAAGGUAAUGCUCAUUUUUGUUUGUGUAAGAGUUUGAAAAUAGUAGCCAAUCUCCAUUUGUGACUUCCAGAGAAAGAUUUCCACAUUGUUUUAUCUUGUUCAUUCUCCACAGAAGUAGGAGCUGACAUAAACUCACUGUUCUCAGAUGGGUAGUUACUCAGCCAUCCCUCUUAGCUGCAAUGUUGGGAACUGUUUUGCUGGACUAUCUCUCUGCAAUGACCUUAUAAAAUCAAGCUUCUCCAUUACACUGUACAGUCAAGCUAGUUUAAAUCAUUACAAGUUGACUUAUUCAGCUGAUGACAAAAGAAGAAAUACUUAUCUCUGAGUCCACAUUCUAUGAUACUUUAGUGAGUACAUUAUCUCUGUCAGCUCAGGAUGCUGCUUCUAUACUUCCCGUUCUAAAGAGCAUUGCUUUUACCUCUGGAGUUCACCAAACUGUUCCUCAGAGGCUGGCAGAGUCACACAUGAGUUCAAGAAAAUAAAAGAAGGAAGGAUAGGGUCUGGAAUAAUGUUACGGUCAUCAAAAGUAGCUUGAUGACAAUACUGGCAAGGCAUCUGUUCACCUCCAUGGAGUAAGGAUUCUGACUUUGAAUGCAGUCUCAUGAAUCUCAUCACAAAGCCUAUCACAAAGUUUAUGUUUUAAACAUAAAACAAGUUCCCAAAACAACAAAAAUUCUUGUGAAACUAACAUCUUGUUCAAAACAAAAUCUUGAGUGGGGAAAUUCUGGUCAUAAAAACUGUGGAGGAUGAAGGAGAGAGGCAUGGACUGAAAGGAGAGUGCAAUGACUGACUUUUGAUUGUUAUUGUAGGACUAAGAUGUUUGCCACUUGCUUCUAGCUAUGCUGUUACAUUCAUUUUCAUGAUGUUUAUUGAGAAUCUUCCCAACUUAGUUAUAGACAGACAUCAGGCCAGCAUCAGACUCUUUAACAUGCAGUCAGAUGGGUGAAUCUGGUUUCACUCCAGAGCUACAGAGCUCCUCACCUCUCUUCUCUCUUCUCUUCCCCACCCAUUGCUCAUGUACCUUUGGGCAUCAGCAAGCAGACAAGUCUGCCAUGUUAUCAGCUCAGCUGUGACAGGGUAAAAUUUGGAGGCUUCCCUUAAUCACUCUAGGUGCAGGUUUACUGAAAAAUUUAUCUUUGACUACAGGCCAGGGCUGCAGACUCCCAAGUGGGAGAAAUCUUCUGCUAAUUUGAAUUUGUUAGAGUGGAGCUGUCUGUUUUCUUUUAUAGCUGGGGAGGACAAAGUAAUGAAUUUUUAUUUUACUGUAAGCAGGCAAAUAUAUUAAACAACAACAACAAAAAAGAACCAGGUUCUUCAAACAGUGCUUGAGAAUAAGGUUUUCUUUGUUGUUAUAGUAGCUGGAAUUGUUGACCGUUAAUUCAGAGCUAAUAUUUUGAAGCAUGAGGUUUUGCAAGCUGAGCCAUAUUUCUUGCAGGUCAGACUUAACCCCUUCAGAUAUUUUCCCUUCCCUUCCCUUCCCUUCCCUUCCCUUCCCUUCCCUUCCCUUCCCUUCCCUUCCCUUCCCUUCCCUUCCCUUCCCUUCCCUUCCCUUCCCUUCCCUUCCCGUGUUGUAACACAACAGAAAAAGUAGGAACCUAAUGUUAUGAUCUUUUAUGGUGUAGAAUUCAGAGGGAACUCACAGAGGCUGCUGUAAAAGAAGAGUACUGCAGUUUCUGUGCUGGAGUGGUUGGAAUGGAGAGCACAUGCAUUGUGCAUGUGUACACAUGCAUGCGUGUGCAUAUGUGUGUAUAGCCACAAGCACGGUGAGUAGUUGCUAAAUGUCAAGCUCCACGUGGCAUGGGAAGACAAUUAUUUUAGAUUUCUUUAGAUUUUUUUUCUGAGCUCAAUUUAACACGUUUUGUCUGAACUGCCACUAACCAACCAGAAGCUUCAGAAGCCAUUGUAUAAAAGGACACAUGCAACCUGGUAGAUCAUAGAGUCAUAGAAUGGCUUGGGUUGGAAGGAACCCCAAGGAUCAUCAUGUUCCAAUCAAGUAGAUUCUUGAUCAUGAUCUUUUUCCAGCAACUUUCACAAAUCCUUUGUAAAUAAUGUCUUUAUAAAUCAACAGACUGCCCACAGUUCAUGAUGAAGGAAAUCGGUCCAUAUACUUUCUGAAUCCAACAUAUGAAGAUCAUUGCUGUUCAAACUUGGCCCUGACCUUGAGAUACGAGACCUUCCUGUGGGUUGCUGAAGGAGACCCAUAUCGAUGGCAGGAGCUGUAGAGCAUGUUGUCUUGCAGGUAGUACUCCAUAACAUGGCUCCUGGAACAUAUUCACCAAAUGUCUCCACAUCCAUAAAGGACAGCACGGAUGGAAACAUCAUGAGAUAAUGCAAAGAAGGAAACAAAAAAAAAAACAAAAGCAGCAAAAAAAAAAAAAAAAAAAAAAAAGAUUUUUUAAACUUUUUGUUGUUAUUGUUGUAGUUUAAUCUGAAAAGAAACAAUGAAUUUUAAUGAUUUUUUUUCUGGAUAUUGAUCUCUAUAUUACAAUUUUGUGUAAUAAUGAACUUAAGGACAUCCUUAACUUUAAUAAUAUGUGAACUUUCAUUGUUUUCAGCAUGUCACAUGCAAACUGAGCAUGAGAUAGAGAAAUGCCUGCAGAUUCUUAAUGAACAGAGAAUAUACUACUAGCAAAGAGAGAUCUAAAAGAAAGAGAUAAUUUUGUACUAGCAGCAGAAAAACUGAGCUGAAGAACUUCAAACUGAGCAUUUGUCUAAAAUGUGAAAUUAUGUAUCCAGUCUAGCAAGAAAAAUUAUGUUAAAAAAGUUUUUAAAAAAUAAGAAAAAAUAAAUAAAUGAAGAAAUGCAUUCCUAAACUGAAAAAAAAGCUGUUUCAUUUUCCAGCAUUGUCUGAUUAAAAUAUUUGUCUUGAAACUUGAUGCAAUUUUCAUUGAUAUGGCAAUGUUUUGCUCUUGCUGCUCAAACUCUUAUAGCACAGGAGUGUCUGAAGGAUUUAUUACUUAACAUUUGUAAAGAGCUUUGCAGAUGAAAAGCGCUGCUUAAGCGCAGUAAUUACACUUCCAAUUGAGAAAAUAUGCUUUUCUUUCUCCAUUGCUCUGCAUUCUUGCUCAUUCCUUCCUUCUCUG